Molecule: ribosomal RNA, 406 nt
Filed under: uncultured bacterium
Lineage: Bacteria
Description: partial 16S ribosomal RNA
Rfam family: Bacterial small subunit ribosomal RNA
Source: RNAcentral
AUUGAACGCUGGCGGCAGGCCUAACACAUGCAAGUCGAGCGAGCGGCGGACGGGUGAGUAAUGUAUGGGAAACUGCCUGAUGGAGGGGGAUAACUACUGGAAACGGUAGCUAAUACCGCAUACCAUCGGAUGUGCCCAGAGGGGCAUAGCUAGUAGGUGGGGUAACGGCUCACCUAGGCGACGAUCCCCAGACGGUCUGAGAGGAUGACCAGCCACACUGGAACUGAGACACGGUCCAGACUCCUACGGGAGGCAGCAGUGGGGAAUAUUGCACAAUGGGCGCAAGCCUGAUGCAGCCAUGCCGCGUGUAUGAAGAAGGCCUUCGGGUUGUAAAGUACUUUCAGCGGGGAGGCGUUACCCGCAGAAGAAGCACCGGCUAACUCCGUGCCAGCAGCCGCGGUAAUAC